Molecule: unclassified non-coding RNA, 652 nt
Filed under: Hevea brasiliensis (rubber tree)
Lineage: Eukaryota; Viridiplantae; Streptophyta; Magnoliopsida; Malpighiales; Euphorbiaceae
Source: RNAcentral
UUUUUUUUUUUUUUCAAGGUAUACAUGAAGAGUCGAUGCUAUGCGAGAAUACGCCUUUCAAAGUCAGUCCCUGUUGACGUGGGAUAACAGCGGUUUGCGGCCCCAAGGCUGGUGCCCUACUUACUUACACAUCUGAGACUUGAGGAAUCGAAUGCCCUGUUGGAGGAAGGAACUUCUUUCCACGAUAUCUUAUAAUCGAAGAAAUGCUACAUCAGACUCAAGAAAACAACUUGGGUUCGUUUGAUGUAACUUUGGAGGCCCCUGAGACUCUCCUUAGCAGUGCAGAGAAUCUCUCUUGGGAAAGAGCUAGAAGCAAGAAAGACAGAGUAAGAAAGCGAAGGGGCAUUAAACGCCACUGCUGCGGAUAACUUCACACUAACCCACUCGUACAAGCAACUACAUCAAUCAAGACGUGAACCUCUCGCCGUUGGGAUAAGAUAAAGACCAUUUACAAGGCCUGCUUCUGUCCCAUUCAGUGGAGAAAAUCCUGAUUCAAUUACAUCAAUAGUAAGUAUACCGCCAGGCCGUACCACCCAAAGCCACACGACCAGGCCGUGUGAUGAAGAACAUGAAGAGCGUUUUAGUUUCAAAUUUCCAAAAUGGGUUAAAAUUAUAAAUUUAAUAUGUAUUUAGAAAUUUUUUUAGAUUUUAA